This is a long non-coding RNA of Pteropus alecto (black flying fox), 1571 nucleotides long. RefSeq lists it as uncharacterized. The transcript is spliced from 3 exons. Lineage: Eukaryota; Metazoa; Chordata; Mammalia; Chiroptera; Pteropodidae. The record is from RefSeq and is a predicted model, not a curated record.
UAUGUUUUAAAAUUGACUAUGGAAAUGUUAAUAUUUUUGUAAUUAGUUUGAAUGAAAACUUUCUAUUGUUGGCAAAAGAAUAUACUGAUGUCAUAAAGUUAUUACUGACCAGGAAAUCAGCAUAUAUUCAGUAUAUAUUCUGUAGUGAAAUUAUAGUCAAACUAUUUUAUACUAUUAGGAUAAGACGAGUAAAAAUCUCAGAAGAGUGCACCUAAUAUUAAGCGUUUGUUGUUUUUUUUUUUUUUUCUCUUGGGAAGUGGUACCUGUGACGCUCAAGUUGUUUUAGCUUAUAUAUAUUUUCUCUUUAUUAUGUUUCACAUACAUUUGCAUAAUUUUGAAAGCUAGCAUUCCUAAGACAGCUGUAACAGUAUUAUUUUUUGAAUGUACUUAGUUUCAAGUACUUUCUUUAACUUACUCAUCAAUAUUCAUCGCACCACCCCACAGUAGUUAUCUGUUUUCAAGCCCCGAUUGUGGGUGACCAGUUCCAAUCAGCUAUAAGAAUGAGUAACGAAAGAAAAGACCAAGCCUUCUAGAAAUCCCAGCGGCAAACACUCAAGAAUCUCGUGACGUCAUCCGAAACUGAGUCGCAGCCGAGGCUUCGGGGAAGCGUAGUUCCAGAGUGGGGCGUAGGGAGCCAUCUGCGCAUAAACAAUUCCGAUUCCUUUCGGUAGUCGCCAUUUUCUAUUUUGCACCCCAGCGCUCAGAGGACUCCGGACCCUCCUGCCCGGCGCGGUGCCGCACAGGGCGGGGCCUGGAAUCCGCGCGGGCCGGGCGCCAAGGCGGAGCUCCUGAUAGUGUGUGGAAGGUCGCUCUUGGGGCGCGAGGCCGGGGCGGGGUGAUGGUGGCGGGAAGCCGGGUCUCUGCGGCUGCGCUGUGUCGGAGAUCCUGGAAACUGACGCCCACCUCUGAACGCGGGACUGGCCUCCGAGGGGCACUAGGGAGAGACCUGGGAAGGGGCUGGCUGGCAGGCCGGUUGUCCGCGCUCCCGUUCCUCUCCAGACCCUUGUUUCUUGACCUGCAUGAGAGGCGGUCGGGAGAGGCCUGGGGCAGCGUGCUGAGGGAAUGGAGGUUUGUGACGUGGAUCUGACACCCGUCACGUUCUGGCUAGCGCGUUAGCGGUCCUAGCUGCUGGAGAAAGGGCGUUGUUGAAGUUCUAGGGACUUGGGCUCAAGUCCAACGCCUGCCAGUAAAUGGGCAGGUUAAUCCGGUACGAUUCAGAUACUCUUCUGUAAAUUGACAACUAACCUUUCGAGUUGUUUUCUGUAUUAAAUAGGAUAGCAUAUUUCAUGUGUGAUAAUAAAGGUGAUUCCUGGAACUGCAAGAUAAGGAAGGUCUAAUGAUUUCUGUCUUUCAACUUUCCCUCUUCUGACUCCAUAGUUUCUGUCCUUUCCCAAGAGCAGCAGAAAAUGAACAAAUUCCAGUGUGGGUCUGCUGGUAGAAAAUUCAGUUUAUCUGAAAUAUUCAUGAAGAACUUUUUCACAGUGUAUAGAAAUCUUGGUUGACAGUUCUUUUAAAACAUUGAAAAGUAUUCAUUGCCUUCUGCUGAUGCUAUUAAAAACUCACCUGUUGAU